AAAUAUAUACACAAUAUUAUGAAAUAUAAUAAUUAACGUAAAUGGUUUUAUAAACGAGUCCACUCAUGAGUUUAUUCAACGAGUUAGCUCAGGAGCCUAUUUAACAAGCCAACUCGCAAAUCUGUUCAGCGAGCCAACUUGUGAGCUUAUAAAUGAGCCAAGCCAAAUACUAUUGAGCUCAAACUUAGUUCGUUUAUUAAAUGAGCUUAAAAUUCGAGCUUGAGCUUAGUUUGUUUAGGAAACGAACCAAACCGAGCCGAACUUUUAUCGAACCAAGUUUCAAGCAGCUUGCGAUUAGCUUGGUUCAUUUACACCCCUCAUAAAUCAUAUCUAUUUAGGAAUAUAAAUCCUACACUAAAUAGGAAUAUAUAAAUUAUUUGCUUUUCAUAACGCUUUAGUUGGAGCAUGAUAUCUCAUCAAUUCCAUCAUGUGGAUUACACUCAGUUGAAUGAUAAAUAAGUUUUUCGCCAUUAUCUUAAUCUUAUCAAUGUCCAAAGUUAUUCCUGGAAAGGUAUCUUGAAUUUGCAUGUGAUGUUAGGCUACCAUAAAAUUGUCUUGAACUUCUACUCAAAUGAUGAAUCCUUGUGCCAUUGAUGCAAAGAAAUACAAUGAGGAAUCUAUUUUUAUCAUUGGUUGAGGUUAUGGAGUCUGGGAUUGAUAUUUCUAUUAACAAAACAUCAAUGGAUUGCCCUGCUUGUAAUCAACUGGAGGGACAUGACUGCCCAGUACUAGAAUAGUCAUCACUUCUGUUAAUCUUCAUUUGCUGUUCAUUUUAUUUCCCUUUAAUUUUUUUCUGUGAUUUUUUUUUUUCUGAUUUAUUUGAAUUAAAAUGGUAGAUUCGACCUUUUCUGCCUUGAAAUCCAAAAUUUCCCCAAAUGCCUUUUAGGUUGUUUCUUCCUCUAAAAUGUAUUCAUCAUCAAUUUAUUUUCGCAAGUCCUAAUUCCUUGUCCUUGCUACUUCAAUGCCAUUGUCUUGCAGGUUUUCAUUUUGAUACAGAGGAUGGUGAUAAAGUACUUCCUGGUUUCCUUAAUUCAAUAAUUGGAAUCCAACGAGGAGAAAAAAAAUCCUUCCCUCUUGUGUUUCCUGAAUCAUGGAGCCAAGCAAGUCUUCGUGGUGUUCAUGCUCAAUUUACU
This 1133-nucleotide unclassified non-coding RNA is filed under the name Hevea brasiliensis (rubber tree). The record is from RNAcentral. Lineage: Eukaryota; Viridiplantae; Streptophyta; Magnoliopsida; Malpighiales; Euphorbiaceae.